RNAcentral lists this transfer RNA (75 nucleotides) under Pantoea sp. Sc1. Its description in RNAcentral is "tRNA-Gln". The stretch from base 1 to 53 matches the Rfam family "tRNA", at positions 20 to 71 of the family's 71-position model. From Rfam's summary of the family: Transfer RNA (tRNA) molecules are approximately 80 nucleotides in length. The record is from RNAcentral. Lineage: Bacteria; Pseudomonadati; Pseudomonadota; Gammaproteobacteria; Enterobacterales; Erwiniaceae.
AAGGCACUGGUUUCUGAUACCAGCAUUCCGGGGUUCGAAUCCCUGCACCCCAGCCAAAUUGCACAACAGGCCCGC